UACGAAGGGGGCAAGCGUUGUCCGGAAUCACUGGGCGUAAAGCGCGCGCAGGCGGUCAUCUACGUCUGGGGUGAAAGCCCGGAGCUCAACUCCGGGAUUGCCUUGGAUACGGGAUGACUUGAGGAUCGGAGAGGCAAGGGGAAUUCCACGUGUAGCGGUGAAAUGCGUAGAGAUGUGGAGGAACACCUGUGGCGAAGGCGCCUUGCUGGCCGAUUUCUGACGCUGAGGCGCGAAAGCGUGGGGAGCAAACAGG
This 253-nucleotide ribosomal RNA is filed under the name uncultured bacterium. RNAcentral describes it as "partial 16S ribosomal RNA". It matches the Rfam family "Bacterial small subunit ribosomal RNA", at positions 524 to 776 of the family's 1533-position model. The record is from RNAcentral.